UUUCCGUUGGUGAACCAGCGGAGGGAUCAUUACUGAGUGAGGGCCCCCGGCCCGACCUCCAACCCUUUGUGAAUCGUACUCGUUGCUUCGGGGGCGACCCUGCCGUCCGCGGCUGAGCGCCCCCGGGGUGAAUCAAACACUGCAUUCUCUGGGUCGGAGUAUUAGUAAAUCUAAUCAAAACUUUCAACAACGGAUCUCUUGGUUCUGGCAUCGAUGAAGAACGCAGC
RNAcentral lists this unclassified non-coding RNA (227 nucleotides) under uncultured fungus. RNAcentral describes it as "sequence contains ITS1, 5.8S rRNA gene". The stretch from base 179 to 227 matches the Rfam family "5.8S ribosomal RNA", at positions 1 to 49 of the family's 154-position model. Lineage: Eukaryota; Fungi. The record is from RNAcentral.